AGGAUUAACGCUGGCGGCGUGCAUGAGACAUGCAAGUCGAACGGACACUCGGGGCUUGCUCUGAGUGUUAGUGGCGGACGGCUGAGUAACGCGUAGGUGACCUGCCCCGAAGUGGGGAAUAACUGCCCGAAAGGGUGGCUAAUACCGCAUGUGGUGAUGCGUUCAUUCGCAUCAGUAAAGCCGCAAGGCGCUUCGGGAGGGGCCUGCGUCCGAUUAGCUCGUUGGUGAGGUAACGGCUCACCAAAGGCGACGAUCGGUAGGUGGUCUGAGAGGACGAUCACCCAGACUGGGACUGAGACACGGCCCAAACUCCUACGGGAGCAGCAGUGGGAAUCUGCGCAAUGGGCAAAGCCUGACGCAGCCAU
Molecule: ribosomal RNA, 365 nt
Filed under: uncultured soil bacterium
Lineage: Bacteria
Description: bacterial SSU rRNA
Rfam family: Bacterial small subunit ribosomal RNA
Source: RNAcentral